AAGGACUUCUGGGCUGCCUGGGAGCUUCUGGCGAGACCGUGAGAGCCCUCAGGAGCCUAACCCGGGAGGUGGCUGCCUUGGUUGGUUGCCAGCCUUCCCCCAGAGGAGCCCCACCUUUGACUUUGAGCUACCCUUCUCUGACACCAGAAGUCAGCAAGUGUUUACGCCUCCACCAGAUUGCCUGUGUAUGCCAUCGCCUGUACUCUACCACUGCCAGAAGGGAUGGCUAUGAUCAUCUAGUCUGACCUUCUGCAUAACAUGGACCACAGGACUUUCCUAAAUGAAAUCCAGCCGCAAGCCUUACAGCUCUGCUUGAACACUUGGCUUGACCUUGAAGUCCAUAUACACUCACAACUCCCACUGGAAGUCCAUGCUGCCAGACUACUCUCUGGAAGCACAGUUUAUUAUAAGACUGGCAAAUGCAAUAAUACUGCAGAAAAUAACAUUUACAUACAUACACACAUGC
This is a long non-coding RNA of Alligator sinensis (Chinese alligator), 466 nucleotides long. RefSeq lists it as uncharacterized. The record is from RefSeq and is a predicted model, not a curated record. NCBI's taxonomy places the organism in Eukaryota, Metazoa, Chordata, Crocodylia, Alligatoridae. The transcript has 3 exons.